Molecule: transfer RNA, 71 nt
Filed under: Euphaea formosa
Lineage: Eukaryota; Metazoa; Arthropoda; Insecta; Odonata; Euphaeidae
Also listed under: 2 other names
Description: tRNA-Ser
Source: RNAcentral
GAGAGUAGGUUGAAAACGAGAAUAAGCUGCUAACUUAUAACUCUAGCGGUUAAAAUCCGUUAAUACUCUUA